AGCCGCAAUAUACGUGCCGUCACUAGAUGGCGCUAAACCUCCAUUGUGCCAAACCGAUCUCUUUGUUUAGAUCAAGCUGUGUUGUGAGCAUGUGCAGGGAGCAAAAGCCCGCCAAAGUCACUAGCCCAUCCCCGGGGUGUAUGAGAUCGUGGGUAAAGCUGCAAGUCGUAUAUAGACACGUCACACCAGGGGGUAUUUAAGCCAUACAUGUUUCUGAGCCUUCUUUGUCUACCUCAUCGUUAUGAAAUAAAGAUUAACUACAGAAGGAUCUUUUGUGCCGUGCAUGUGUUUCGCUGGCGAAGAACAAUAGCAUGGGACCAAUUGGUGAUGAAACCCGGGAAUCGCCUCACCACCGCCCAGCGCCAGAGAGGGGCCCUCCAUCCAAGCGGAGAAGAUCCAGAACCGUAGUGGGAAAAAGGAAGAAGACAAUCCAUUCUGGGUGCCAGAACGACUGACACGAAGAAUUCUGACACCUGAAAAUCACUCCCGGAUGGAUCCCUUGGAAACUACCUCUAGCCCUCAUGCUGCCUCUGUUGAUUUGGGUUCCUAGUAUAUUUGGAGAGUAUAGAUGGGCAAUUCUGUCUGCCUUCCCAAAGCCCAUGCCUGUCCUUCAUGAUGUAGCUGUUUUCCCCAAAUUCUUUACAACCAAUAAAAGUUUGGAUCUGCCAUACUUACCAUAUGAUCCUAUCUGGGAACCACUGGGGGGAAAACGCUCUAUAAGGGAACGAGGCUCUCUCUGUUUCCAAAUUAAUGAAUUGGGAGAUUGUAUCAGACUCACUGGCCAAGCUUUGGGGAGGUUUUAUGAGCACCGAGGAGGUUGAGUGAGCACAACCAAAGAUAUUUCCAACGCAGAUAUAACCUUUACAAAUCGGACCUUCUGGCAGGAGGCAAUUUGGGUUAAUGGUACAUUUCUACCACCUAACUUUUCAGACAAAGAACGUCCCCACCAACCAAAAAUAGCCCCUCAUGGUAGAUUGGAAGAUGAAGGGCUGAUCCUGCCUUGGUCUGAUGGUCAAUCCUCCAUCACUCGUUGGGCAGAUCAGAGUAAAACCUUUUCCUUUUCUUCCAACAUGAUGGCUGAACCAGAGAAGGAAUUUGUUAUGAAAAAGGGACUUUUCAUACAGGACUUUAUAAUGCAUCCUUUUCAUAAAUGGGUACUUUGUGGGAUUAAUGGAAGCUGUACAGAUCUUAAUCCUUUGGUUUUCCUCCAAGGAGGAGCUGCUGGAAAAGUGAUUUUUAAUGGUAUUUCAAAAUUCGUUCAGUGUCAUCUAGUUCAGUUACCUGAUGGAACCACUUCUCAAAAUUCUACUACUGAAAUCACUGGAUUUAAUAAGACCCUGGUAAAUCAGACUAGUUAUUCACCUACUCCAGUAUGUGUGUACACCCCCCCCCCUUUUUUUUUAUUCUUUCUAACGGUUCCUUUGAAUCCUGUACUAAUGAAACCUGCGGGAUGUCACAAUGCUGGAACCUUGAUUGGGCCAGCCGUGCAAUGCUUUCCAAGAUUCCAUGAUGGAUUCCUGGCCCCGUGGAGACCCCUUCCACCGUAUCUUUGUUCAGGCAAAAGCAAGACUUUGGUAUCACUGCAGCUAUGGCUGCUGGAUUUGCUAUGGCAACAUCAGUCCAGUCAAGCACGACUAUCGAGCAGUUGUCCUCCUCUGUGGCAAAUGUGAUCGAUCAACAUUCAGUGCUCAGUGCCCAAUUAAAAGGUGGGCUAAUGAUAGUGAACCAGCGCAUUGAUCUGGUGGAG
Molecule: long non-coding RNA, 1747 nt
Organism: Mus musculus (house mouse)
Lineage: Eukaryota; Metazoa; Chordata; Mammalia; Rodentia; Muridae
Product: predicted gene, 54062
Exons: 2
Source: RefSeq, a predicted model, not a curated record